AACUUUUGGCAACGGAUCUCUUGGUUCUGGCAUCGAUGAAGAACGCAGCGAAAUGCGCUAAGUAAUGUGCAUUGCAGAAUUCAGUGAAUCAUCGAAUCUUUGACCGCACAUUGCGCCCCGUGGUAUUCCGCGGGGCAUGCCUGUUCGAGCGUCAUUUCAACCAAUCCAGCUUGCUGGGUCUUGGGUCGCGCCCCCGGGCGGGCCUUGAAAUCAGUGGCGGUGCCACCCGGCUCUACGCGUAGUAAUUCUUCUCGCGAUAGGGUCCCGGGUGGAGGCUUGCCAACAACCCCCAAUUCUUAAAGGUUGACCUCGGAUCAGGUAGGGAUACCCGCUGAACUUAAGCAUAUCAAUAAGCGGAGGCU
RNAcentral lists this unclassified non-coding RNA (362 nucleotides) under uncultured Helotiales. RNAcentral's name for it is "sequence contains ITS2". The stretch from base 1 to 154 matches the Rfam family "5.8S ribosomal RNA". Lineage: Eukaryota; Fungi; Ascomycota; Leotiomycetes; Helotiales. The record is from RNAcentral.